Myotis lucifugus (little brown bat) is the source of this 1431-nucleotide long non-coding RNA. RefSeq lists it as uncharacterized. The transcript has 4 exons. NCBI's taxonomy places the organism in Eukaryota, Metazoa, Chordata, Mammalia, Chiroptera, Vespertilionidae. The record is from RefSeq and is a predicted model, not a curated record.
GGCCUCCCAAUGUGGAAGCCUUGAGGACUUUCUCCUCUUUUUCUGGCUGUUCCCAGAAAUCGGGGAGAAGCUGGGUCCGGUGUCUGCAGCUACUGAGCCUCUGUACCCCGAGUCUCCAUCACCCCCAACCCCGGCUCCAAUCCUGAGAGUCACUUCAGAUGUCCUGGAGUGAGGUGGCCAGGUGGCCAGUGGCCCAGAUGGGAGUUUCAGUGACGAGGAUGUGAAGCCAAGAGGACCCUGGAUGCGGAGGAGAGCUGGAAAUUAGGGGACAUACCGCGGGACCACUUAUUGUAGCAGAUGGCAUUAUUCCCAAUUCUUCACCCCUCUCUGUAUCCGGAUCUUAUGCCAGAACACCCACUCCUGGAAGGCGGGCUGGCGCUGCUCAUUCAUCCUGACUCCCAGGGCCAGCUCAGUGCUUGGCACUCAGUGGGCCUUCGGCACAUUCGCCCUUGAGUGAAUGAAUGAAAAGGCUUUGGACUCCGGAUCACCAGUGCCUGCUCAGAUGUAUGCCAACUCAGCCAUUCUUCAUAUCUCAUCACAAGAAGGUGCUGUGGACAUCUCGGUUUUUUAGCAUCUGCUUCCCAUGUUCCUUUCCUGCUCCAUGCUGCCUUGACUGCUGCGGGCCCACACCCACCUCCGCCUCCUGGCUCACUCCUUACACUGGACUGUGAGCACAGUGUUCUCUGGGUGCCACCUUCUCCUCCGACCUUGGGCUGACAUCUGAGCAGUGGUCCUUACCUGGGGAGGACUUUCCCCUUUGGUGGACACUGGGCAUUGUCCAGACAGGAUGGGGAGUGUGACAGCGGCUCACAUUUCCCCAGCACUCAUCCCGGGCCAACCAUUGGAUCUACAUCGCGCCAUUCAGUCCUCUCAGCAGCCUACGAAGUGGCUUCUGUUAGCUCUCCAUUUUACAGAUGAGCAAACUGAGACUUCCUUAGUCCAGAGUCAAAAGCAAGUACGUGGGAGUCACAGGGGAUCGAUAUUCAACUUUUAAUAUUGAGAGAAGGAGUUUUUGAGUCUGUAGGAGGAUGAUUGACAUAUGGGGAGUGGAUGUACGGCGUCUGUUAAGGGAGAGAGUGGAAAUCUUUUCCACUUUUUGGGCUGAACCAGGAGGCCGAAUGCCUAGGGAGGAAGUCCAGGGUGUAGGAAAGUCCAGGUCAGAAAGAAUGAAGACUAGAGUUGGCCUUCUCCACCUCGGGGGAUUGUGGGAGGGAGACAGAGAGGAAGAAACGCAGAGGGAGGUGAGAAGCCGGUGACAUCACCUGUGAGCUGAGUGCCAGCUCAGGGGCCCUGUUGAGAAAGCUAGUGAGGAACAUGGGGGUGGGCAGGGGGCUUCUGCCCCAUUUUUGUUUGAGUUUCUGGGAGGAGACCCCUCGCAGGGGCCCUCCCCAUGCUCUGUGUCAGUCCAGGCCAGGGAGAGCCCGAGUGUGC